CCCACACACACUCCAGCCCAGCUGUCUACAGUGAUAAAUGAUGGGCCUUUCUUUAAAUUUCCUUUCUGCUCUGCGUGAGGACUGGCCAGUGUGGAUAUGUACUCGACACGGAUAAAUGGCUCUGGCAAGCCCACCAGACUGUCCACGUGGCAACAGAUGGUCCAGCUCAAAGCUUUUGUUGUGCUAAUGUUGGAACUUGCUGCUACCUGAAGCAGUUAUCGUUUCAUAAACAAUGAUGCUGCCACUGCUCUGUGGAUAAACUGUCCUUUAUACUUUGCAGGGCCCACCAUGGGUGUUGACGGCUUCAUGAUGGUAAGAAGAGAACCCCCAGUCAUCCAGCUGGCGUGGCAGCCAAAGAGAAACACUUAAUCGGAUGGAGAUGAGAGCCCACCAGAGCAUAUAAUAGUCGCUGCUCCAAGAAGGCUGAGAUUCUAGGAUGCACGCACAGCCCACUCUCAACUCAUGACCUCCUCUGUGCCCAGGGAGCAGAACCUGCUAAUGAGAGGAACAGAAAAACCCACACAGGUGAGCCCAGCAGAUAUUAAAACUUGUUCCCCGUGGUUAUGUGUCUCCCUUAUUAAGUCAUAAGCUCCCACAACCUCUUUAAUACAUGGUAAAUACUGAAUGAAUGAAUGAAUGAUUGCAGAAAACGUUAUAAAGAGGAGACAAGAAACAGCUCAGAUAUCGAACUACCGUAUUUCCUGAUAUGCAAGAAUCAGAGGUAUACAAGAAACUACUCUCAUUUUACAAGGACAUUAUGGGAAGGAAGGAAGGAGAACCAGAAUAGAUUUCAUCAUCCAUGUGUUUAUAAUUAUUUUCAAUUGCAUUUAUAAUGACAGUUUUUUUGUUUAUGCUCAUGCAAGUAUGUUUAUACUGAAAUGAUACAAAUUCUUUUGCACCACUGAAAACCAAAUUAUUAUUUUAUAUCUGUUUGAUUCUCUGUAAUCCAUUUACUAUUUGGGCAUCUUAGAUGAAGAGUAUUUUAGGGUUUUGGUUUUGUUUGUUUGUUUGUUUGUUUUGACAGAGUCUGGCUCCAUCAUCCAGGCUGGAGUGCACUGGCAUGAUCUUGGCUCACUGCAGCCUCUACCUCCUGAGUUCAAGCCAUUCUGCUGCCUCAGACUCCCUAGCAGCUGGGACUACAGGUGCGAGCCACCACGUCCAGCUAAGUUUUUGUAUUUUUAAUAGAGACAGGGUUUCACCAUGUGGGCCAGGCUGGUCUCAAACUCCUGACCUUCAGUGAUCCACCCAAUUCGGCCUUCCAAAGUGCUGGGAUUACAGGCGUGGGCCACCAUGCCUGGCCUAUUCUAGGUAUUUUAAAAAAAUGCAUUAAAAUGCCUGCAAAUACAGUGCCAGUUUUUUAAGGAAUAUUCCAUCCCUAAAACUCUCUAAUUAUUUGUGCCUUGUUUCCCCCUCAGAGGAGAGUGAAAUAUUUCCCCAAAUAGAAGGUUAACAGUUGGGAUUGUUUUUGUCAGUUUUGCUUUGUCUCCCCCCAACCCUGCCUCAUCACUAUUGUGAGAGAGAAUGCACAUUUUUUCUACCCACGGUAAAAUUGACAACGGAAACACUGUCUUCUCCAAUUCCCAAUGCACUGCACCACUGCUGCAGACAAACAGUGAGUCUGAAGUGAAGCGGGAGGGAGUUGGUAGAAAUAAGGCCCCACCCAGCGUGAAGCUUCCAGAUGAUCUGGGGGCCACGCGAUGCAGGUGCUAUCAGCAAGUAGCAGGCUGCAUGGCUGGCUUGUGAGUUAUUGCUGUGGUCACAAGAUCUCCUUGCUGUAGCAUUCUGCGUGUGUAGGUGAUAAAUCUUAGGGACACGAGGGAACACAUCAGGCUUCUCUCCUCUGGCCCAUUAUUUUUCUCCUACAUCAUUUAGAAAAGUGCAGGUCUGGACCUUUUAAUUUUUUUUUUUUUUUUGAUCAUGAAUGUUUUCUUCAGCUCCAUGCCACAUUUCCUUCUGCAUGUUCAAUUUUCACAAUGGAGUGUAUUUUUAAAGCGUGGCUCAAUAGAAGAUGAGAGAACAGAAACCUUAAGCAGGAGACAAGAGAAAGAGACAAAUACACGCAUUUGCUCUCUUUGUUCUCUUGCGAAUGGCGAUGUGAAAGUCUGGUGGAGUCAGAUAUAGUUCCUGCUUGCAAAGGGAGCAAAAGGGAAAGAAACUUACAUCUUUUAAGACCAUGCUAUGUACCAAAAUCUACACUAGUCUGCAGAGAGAGCACGUCAUUGUGGUCAAACGCGUCUAUACUGCAAGUCAACGUCCCUGGGUUCAAAUCCCAGCUCCUCCUCUUGCAGUUGGAUGCCUUGAACAAAUGACUUGAUGUCUUCACCUGUAAAAUGGGCAUAAUACUAAUCCCUACAUCACCGGACAUUUUAAAAUUUAGAUUAAGUUAAACACAACAUGAAAUUAAGCAUGUUUAAAAGUAUAAAUAAGUGGCAUUUAGUACAUUCAGAAAGUUGUCACCUCUAUCUAGUUCCAAAGCAUUUUAAUCACCUCUAAAAUAAAUCUUGUAUCCAUUAAACAGUCACUCCCCAUUUCCUCCAUCCCAGCGCCUGCCAGCCACUCAUCUACUUUCUAUCUGUAUAGAUUUCUUUCUUCUGGAUGUUUCCCAUAAGUAGAAUGAUGCUAUAUGUGACCUUUUGCAUCUAGCUUCUUUCACUUAGCAUAAUGCUUUUGGGAUUCAUUUACAUUGUAACGUACAUCAGUACUUCAUCCCUUUUUUAUGGCUGAGUAAUAUUCCAUUAUUUGGAUAUGUACAUUUUGUCUUUCUAUUCAAACAUUGAUGGAUAUUUGAGUUAUUUCCACCUUUCAGCCAUUGUAAAUAAUGUUACCAUGAACAUUCAUGCACAGGUAUUUGAAUACUUCUUUUAAAUUCUUUUGAGUAUAUACAGUUAUUUCUCAUUAUUCCCAGUAGUUAUGUUCUAUUAAUACAUAGCAAACACUGAAUUAUCAAAUACUAAAUCCUAGCUAAGAGAAAUAUAUCUGUUUCUCUAUCUAUUAUCUAUCUAGAUAGCUAGCAAGCUAUCAUCUAUCUAGUGUGUGUGUGUGUGUCUGUGUGUGUGUGUGUGUGUCUGUGUGUCUGUGUGUGGUAACUCAUCCUGGGAGAUUCUAUUUUAUUUUACAAAAUAGAAAAUAAAAUUCAGAAGUGCUGGAGUGGCCGAGUGCAGUGGCUUACGCCUGUAAACCCAGCACUUUGGAAGGCCCAGGCAGGCGGAUCCCUGAGGUCAGAAGUUCAAGACCAGUGUAGCAAAACCCUGUCUCUACUACAAAUGCAAUGCAAAAAAAAAAAAAAAAGAAAGAAAUUAGCCAGCAUGGUGGCACGCACCUGCAGGCUCAGCUACUUGGGAAACUAAGGCAGGGG
This 3355-nucleotide long non-coding RNA is filed under the name Homo sapiens (human). RNAcentral describes it as "HSALNT0227338". Lineage: Eukaryota; Metazoa; Chordata; Mammalia; Primates; Hominidae. The record is from RNAcentral.